CCAAGCCUCCGGGAGGCAGCAGUGAGGAAUAUUGGUCAAUGGGCGGAAGCCUGCCCCCGCCAAGUCGCGUGAGGGAAGAAGGCCCUGCGGGUCGCAGACCUCUUUGGACGGGGAGCAAGGCCGCCGACGUGUCGGCGGAAGGAGAGUACCCGUAGAACAAGCAUCGGCUAACUCCGUGCCAGCAGCCGCGGUAAUACGGAGGAUGCGAGCGUUAUCCGGAUUUAUUGGGUUUAAAGGGUGCGCAGGCGGCACGGCAAGGCGGCGGUAAAAU
RNAcentral lists this ribosomal RNA (271 nucleotides) under uncultured bacterium. Its description in RNAcentral is "partial 16S ribosomal RNA". It matches the Rfam family "Bacterial small subunit ribosomal RNA", at positions 330 to 600 of the family's 1533-position model. The record is from RNAcentral.